Molecule: ribosomal RNA, 253 nt
Filed under: uncultured bacterium
Lineage: Bacteria
Description: partial 16S ribosomal RNA
Rfam family: Bacterial small subunit ribosomal RNA
Source: RNAcentral
UACGAAGGGUGCAAGCGUUACUCGGAAUUACUGGGCGUAAAGCGUGCGUAGGUGGUUUGUUAAGUCUGUUGUGAAAGCCCCGGGCUCAACCUGGGAAUGGCAAUGGAUACUGGCAGGCUAGAGUGCGGUAGAGGGUAGUGGAAUUCCCGGUGUAGCGGUGAAAUGCGUAGAGAUCGGGAGGAACACCAGUGGCGAAGGCGGCUACCUGGACCAGCACUGACACUGAGGCACGAAGGUCAGGGGAGCAAACGGG